CAGUCGCGUUCUCUGGGAUUCAGCCUUGCUUCUUGCUUGGUGCAUUUCCUAGUCUACGGGCCAGCAUGAAUCUUGAGCGGUGGAAAAAGGGUUUGGGGAAUGUGGCACCUCCGGGUGUGUUAUAGCCCCUUGCUGUAUACACUGGUUGGGAUUGAGGUUUCAGUGCACGCUUCGGUUGUGCUUUGAUGCUGGCGUAAUGGCUUUAAGCGACCCGUCUUGAAACACGGACCAAGGAGUCUAAACAUAUAUGCGAGUGUUCCUGAG
Molecule: ribosomal RNA, 264 nt
Filed under: Diversispora epigaea
Lineage: Eukaryota; Fungi; Glomeromycota; Glomeromycetes; Diversisporales; Diversisporaceae
Source: RNAcentral